RNAcentral lists this ribosomal RNA (486 nucleotides) under uncultured bacterium. RNAcentral describes it as "partial 16S ribosomal RNA". It matches the Rfam family "Bacterial small subunit ribosomal RNA", at positions 29 to 507 of the family's 1533-position model. The record is from RNAcentral.
AACGAACGCUGGCGGCGCGUCUUAACCAUGCAAGUCGAGCGGCAGGCAGCAAUGCCGAGAGCGGCGGACUGGUGAGUAACACGUGGAUAACGUACCCCGAUGUCCGGGACAGCCUGUAGAAAUAGAGGGUAAUACCGGAUAGAUCACUGUUUACGUGAGGUAGACAGCGGGAAAGGAGCUUCGGCUCCGCGACGGGAUCGGUCUGCGGCCCAUCAGCUGGACGGCGGGGUAAAGGCCCGCCGUGGCGAGGACGGGUAUCCGGCCUGAGAGGGCGGACGGACACAUUGGGACUGAGAUACGGCCCAGACUCCUACGGGAGGCAGCAGGUAAGAAUAUUCCGCAAUGGGGGGAACCCUGACGGAGCGACGCCGCGUGAACGAAGAAGGCCGGAAGGUUGUAAAGUUCUUUUCUGUCCGAGAAAUAAGUUUCGGAGGAAAUGCCGGGACGGUGACGGUAGGGCAGGAAUAAGCACCGGCUAAUUACGUG